UGGGGAAUUUUGGACAAUGGGCGAAAGCCUGAUCCAGCAAUGCCGCGUGUGUGAAGAAGGCCUUCGGGUUGUAAAGCACUUUUGUCCGGAAAGAAAUCCUUGGCUCUAAUACAGUCGGGGGAUGACGGUACCGGAAGAAUAAGCACCGGCUAACUACGUGCCAGCAGCCGCGGUAAUACGUAGGGUGCAAGCGUUAAUCGGAAUUACUGGGCGUAAAGCGUGCGCAGGCGGUUUGCUAAGACCGAUGUGAAAUCCCCGGGCUCAACCUGGGAACUGCAUUGGUGACUGGCAGGCUAGAGUAUGGCAGAGGGGGGUAGAAUUUCACGUGUAGCAGUGAAAUGCGUAGAGAUGUGGAGGAAUACCGAUGGCGAAGGCAGCCCCCUGGGCCAAUACUGACGCUCAUGCACGAAAGCGUGGGGAGCAAACAGGAUUAGAUACCCUGGUAGUCCACGCCCUAAACGAUGUCAACUAGUUGUUGGGGGAUUCAUUUCCUUAGUAACGUAGCUAACGCGUGAAGUUGACCGCCUGGGGAGUACGGUCGCAAGAUUAAAACUUAAAGGAAUUGACGGGGUCAUAGCUGUUUCCU
RNAcentral lists this ribosomal RNA (586 nucleotides) under uncultured bacterium. Its description in RNAcentral is "partial 16S ribosomal RNA". It matches the Rfam family "Bacterial small subunit ribosomal RNA", at positions 355 to 1375 of the family's 1533-position model. The record is from RNAcentral.